RNAcentral lists this long non-coding RNA (19304 nucleotides) under Gossypium raimondii (Peruvian cotton). RNAcentral describes it as "long non-coding RNA (GRAI_LNC000873)". The record is from RNAcentral. Lineage: Eukaryota; Viridiplantae; Streptophyta; Magnoliopsida; Malvales; Malvaceae.
AGUAUUGUGAUCUGAAUUCUGAGUGCAGGGAACAUUAGAUGAUGGAAAAGAAAUAGCAGUGAAGAGAUUGUCAAAAGCUUCGGGGCAAGGAUUGGAAGAAUUUAUGAACGAAGUGGUGGUUAUUUCAAAGCUCCAACAUCGAAAUCUGGUUAGAUUACUUGGGUGUUGUGUUGAAGCAGAAGAGAAGAUACUCGUCUAUGAGUUCAUGCCCAAUAAAAGUUUGGAUGCUUUUCUAUUUGGUUAGUAACUUAUUAAUUUUGUGUUGUCUACAUUUUUUUUGAAUUUUCACUUUUUCCUUUGAAUUUUCUCUUCUUUUUAUUUAUUUAUUUUUUUUAUCUAUUUUAUAAGGAAGAUUAUAUAUAUUUUUAAUAGGAGUUGGUCUAUACUCUAGGAUUUAAAUAGUACUGGCAGCAGUAGGUUUUGACUCUCUCCACAUUUUAAUAUUUAUUUCAGUUGAUUCACGUAACUUCAAUUAUGCUACGAUCAUAAUGAAUACAGUAUGAUAGAAAUAAAAAUGCUGGCUUUAGUUUAGAUCCUCAAUUAUAGGAAUUAAUUAUUAAUCUUGGUGGUAAAUUUUGUUACAGAUCCUAUUAGACAAAGACUUUUGGAUUGGAGAAAACGCUUCAACAUUAUUGAAGGGAUUAGUCGAGGAUUGCUUUAUCUUCAUAGAGAUUCAAGAUUAAAGAUUAUACAUAGAGAUCUAAAAGCAAGUAAUGUUUUACUUGACCAAGAUUUAAAUCCAAAAAUUUCUGAUUUUGGGAUGGCCAGGAUCUUCGGAGGUGACGAAAAUCAAGCCAAUACUAAAAGGGUUGUUGGAACUUAGUAAGUUGGAACUUUCUCCCUACAAUUUAUUUUUAUUCAUUUUUUGAUAAAAUAUUAUAUAAAUAUGUCUAUGGAUGGAUUCGGUGCUUAAAGAAAAUAUAUGUCCAUACCCCUAUCAAGUUUAAUUUUGUUCAAUUUGUGGACUCAAGUUUUUGUUUUUAAUUUUAAAUGAUUUAUUAUUUAUUCUUAAUUCGGGUUGACUCGUGGACAAGUUUAAAUUAGAGUUGCAAUUGGUGUUAUUUUUUAUGUUAAAAUACAGUGGUUAUAUGUCUCCUGAGUAUGCAAUGCAAGGGCAAUUUUCAGAGAAAUCAGAUGUGUUCAGCUAUGGAGUUCUACUACUAGAGAUUGUUAGUGGAAGAAGAAACACAAGCUUUUACAACAAUAAGGAUGACCUCAGUCUCUUGGGAUAUGUAAGUUCAUAAGAUAGUUAAGAUAGUUAGAGAUAUUGGUGGAGGAAUUAGGGUGUAAGAUGUUGUCUUUGUGAGUUAUUCGGGUUCGAUUUGAGAAAACUUAAAUUUGGCUCAGCAAUUAAUAUAGUCGAGCAAUCAUUUGAGUUGAAUUUGAGAAUCUUAAUGCUUGAAUCGAGUAGCUCGCAAGCUAACGUCAAGAACCCUAACACUUGAAACUAGUAGCUUGCAAGGCUUUUCAAUCUUAAUCAAUACUGAAAAUUUUUAGUUCAAACUCGAACUUGAUUACAAAUAAUCAAGUUUGAAGUUAAGCAGAAUAGUGAAGCUCAUUGUAAACUUAGGUAAAACAAGCCUAGGAGAGUUAGAAAAUUUCAAUCUUUAUCUUGAAUAGAGUUGAUUAAACUCUAUUUAAACUUUAAGAUUAAAAUUUUGAGUCAAGCAAAGCUGAAUAAUUUUGGCAUUAAUUAAGUCAAAAGUUGUUUUUGUUUUCAGGCAUGGAAAUUAUGGAGGGAAGGCAAUAUUUGGGGCUUAGUAGACAAGGUGAUUUUAGAGUCGAAAUCAUAUUCAAAUAAUGAAAAAGAAAUAUGGAGAUGCAUACAUGUUGGAUUGCUAUGCGUUCAAGAAUAUACUAAAGAUAGACCCACUAUAUCUACUGUUAUUUCAAUGCUUAAUAGUGAGAUUUCAGAUCUUAACACUCCAAAGCAACCUGCUUUCACUCAAGCGCCACUAAUGAGCCAUGAUGUUGAAGAUAGAGGUUCACUUAAUGGUGUAACUCUUACAAACCUUGAUGGUCGAUAAAAAUGUAAAUUAAUUAUUUAUAUUGUUUACAAUUAAAGUUCGAGCAUUGAAAUUUAUUUUUAUAUUUUGUUUUGAUGUGUUUUUGUCAUUUUAUUUGUUCCAUUCUAAAAGAUUAUUUUACCAAUAAAGGCCCAUUUUCAACCCACUAAUAUGUUAUUUUGAAUUAUUCUCAACAUUUUUCAGCUUGGCUAACUCCAGCAAUCGUUAUGUAGGGAUAUUGUACCAUCAAAUCCCCCUACAAACUGUUGUAUGGGUGGCAAAUAGAAACAGGCCUCUAAAAGACUUUUCUGGGAUUCUAACCAUAUCAGAUGAUGGCAACCUUGUUGUUUCCAAUGGAAAAGUUGAGAUUCUUUAGUCAACAAAUGUAACGAAUUUGGUUCCUAAUGCAACAACUGCACAGCUUUUAGACUCUAGAAACCUUGUCCUCAAUAACGGUGAGAAUGGAGGAAGCAGCAUCUUAUGGGAGAGUUUUCAACAUCCUUCUAAUGUAUUCCUUCAAACUAUGAAGAUCAGCACUGAUGUAAAAACGGGUCGUAAGGUGCAGACGAGAUCAUGGAAAAGCCCUGAUGACCCAUCUGAUGGCAACUUUGUUCAAGGCAUUGAACCUUUCAGCAUCCCGUGUUAAAUAAACUUAAAUGAAAGUUAAGAGUUAUGUAAGUGAAAGGUCAAGAGUUGAAAGGUCAAGAGUUAUGUUGUUUUUUAAUGGGUUUAAAUUAGUAGUUUUUUGUUUAGGAAAAUGAAAGGUCAAGAGUCAUUGGUUUAUGGUUAUUAUUAGAUUUUAAUAUUUUCAGUUUUUUGUUGCUUUAAAGGGUAGACUAUAGCCUAUAAAUAGUUUGUAAGCUUUUGAUUUUAUGAGAGAGAACAAUUUUAAUAUUGAGAACAUUUUCAUCAAUUUGGUAUCAGAGCUAUGGAGAGUGUGACUAGUAAUGUGCCAUUGCCUCAACUAACAAAGGUGAACUAUGAGAAUUGUAGCAUCCAAAUGAAAGCUCUUCUCGGGUCUCAAGAUGGUUGGGAGGUGGUCCAAGAAGGUUUCGUAGAACCGACAACUAUUGCGGGAUUUACGGCGGCUCAAAACAAGGCGUUGAAAGAAAUACGGUCGAAAGAUAAGGCGGCAUUGUACAUGUUAUUUCGAGCCGUUGAUGACUCGGGCUUUGAGAAGAUUGCAAGUGCGACAACUUCAAAAGAAGCGUGGGACAUUUUAGCAAAGGUGUACAAAGGAGCCGACCGAGUUAAACAAGUCCGCCUUCAAACUCUUUGUGGCGAGCUGGAAGGCAUGAAGAUGAAGGAAUCGGAAAGUGUCUCCGACUAUAUCACACGUGUUCAAACCGUGGUGAACCAACUCAACCGAAACGGAGAAGCGUUAACCGAUGCACGAGUUGUGGAGAAGAUUUUGAGAUCAUUAACUAACAGUUUCGAGAAUGUUGUAUAUGCCAUAGAAGAGUCAAAAGAUCUAGCAAUGCUCAUAGUCGAUGAACUCGCCGGUUCUCUCGAGGCACAUGAACAACGUAAGAAGAAGAAGAAAGAGGAGACACUCGAGCAAGCACUUCAAACCAAGGCAUCAAUCAAAGACGAGAAGGUUCUUAAUUCUCAAAGCCUUCGAGGUAAAGGUCGUGGUCAUGGAGAUCGAGGAAAUGGUCGUGGUGGAAAAGGUCGUGGUCAAGAAGGGAAUUAUGAGGAGAAGGAGCAUUCAAACCAACAAAAUUGGCGUGGAAGAAGACGUGGUCGUAGAAGAGGUCGAAUUAUUCCAAUGUCGAGUGCUACAAGUGUGGCAAAUAUGGUCACUAUGCGAAGGAUUGUAACUCUGAUAAGUGUUACAAUUGUGGUAAGGCGGGACAUUUCGCGAAAGAAUGUCGCGUCUCAAAAAAGAUGGAAGAGACAACUAACCUAACCACAGAAAAUGAGGGGGCAAAAGAAGGUUUUCUCUUGAUGGCACACAACAAAGUCAACACCAACAACAACAUGUGUGGUACCUUGACACAGGUGCAAGCAACCAUAUGUGUGGGCUUAAGCACCUAUUCAAAGAGAUGCAAAAGGUUGAAACGGGACAUGUGUCAUUUGGAGAUGCGUCGAAGGUUGAGGUAAAAGGCCAAGGUACCAUUUGUUAUUUACAAAAUGAUGGGUUAGUUGGGUCAAUCCAUGAUGUGUAUUACGUACCAGANNNNNNNNNNNNNNNNNNNNNNNNNNNNNNNNNNNNNNNNNNNNNNNNNNNNNNNNNNNNNNNNNNNNNNNNNNNNNNNNNNNNNNNNNNNNNNNNNNNNCAUUUUGAGUAUGGGGCAACUCAUGGAAAAAGGUUAUUCGGUACUUAUGAAAGAUCGGGUGUUACACUUGAAAGAUAAGGAAGGGUGUUUGGUCGCUCAAGUUGAAAUGGAGAGAAAUCGCAUGUUCAGGUUGAAUCUGAGAAGUGUUCGAGGAAAAUGUUUGCGAGUUGAUGUUGAAGACAAGGCGUCACUGUGGCAUCUCCGUUUUGGCCAUCUACAUUAUGGUGGUCUAAACGAGUUGGCGAAGAAGAAUUUGGUGCAUGGGCUACCAGACAUGGACUAUGAGGGAAAAUUUUGUGAAGAAUGUGUGCUCGGUAAGCAUGUGAGAACUUUGUUUCAAAAGAAGGCAGAAUAUCAGGCUAAGCAACUUCUCGAAUUGAUUCAUACCGACAUAUGUGGACCAAUCACCCCCGAAUCUUUUAGCGGUAAAAGGUAUUUCAUUUCUUUUAUCGAUGAUUUCUCACGAAAAACUUGGGUUUAUUUUCUUAAAGAAAAAUUCGAGGCAUUUGAGGUGUUCAAGAAGUUCAAAGUGAUGGUUGAAAAAGCAACUGGUAGACACAUCAAAUAUGUACGAUCUGAUAGAGGUGGCGAGUAUACUUCGACGGCUUUCAUAGAGUAUUGUAAGGAGCAAGGCAUAAGACGAUUCCUAACUGCACCGUACUCUCCUCAACAAAAUGGUGUGGCCGAGAGGAAGAAUCAGACUAUUCUCGACAUGGUUCGAUCAAUGCUCAAGAGCAAGAAAAUGCAGAAGGAAUUUUGGGCGGAAGUUGUGCAAUGUGCCAUCUAUGUGCAAAAUCGAUGUCCACAUGCGAAGUUGGAUGAUCAAACACCACAAGAGGCUUGGAGCAGACAAAAACCACCAGUUUCUCAUCUUAAAGUAUUCGGUAGUGAGGCCUAUGCACAUGUGCCGGAUCAGCGAAGAACGAAGCUCGAAGACAAAAGUAAAAUGUUUAUUUUUAUUGGGUAUGAUGAGAAAACAAAAGGAUACAAGCUACUCGACCCGAUAAGUAAGAAGGUUGUGGUAAGUCGUGAUGUACAAUUUAAUGAAGCAAGCGAGUGGAAUUGGAAUAACUCAACGGAGGUUAUCAUCAAAGAUGAAGGAUCAUCAAUCGCUACACCAACAACCAUACCGACAAAUCCCGAAACUACUGAUGAUGAAAAUGAACCGCAACAACCAAAAAUGCGAAGUUUGCAAGAUUUGUAUGAUUCAACAAAUGAGGUACAUAUUGUAUGUCUUUUGGCAGAUUCAGAGAUUAUAAGUUUUGAAGAGGCGGUGCGAGACAAGAAGUGGCAAACUGCUAUGGAUGAGGAGAUUAAAGCAAUUGACCGCAACAACACAUGGGAGUUAACAGAAUUGCCGAAAGGAAGUCAACCCAUUGGUGUGAAGUGGGUGUUCAAAAGAAAGAUGAAUGCUCAAGGCGAGUUAGAACGGUACAAGGCGCGACUUGUUGCAAAGGGAUAUAUGAAAAUAGAGAGGAGAAGAAGGUGCUGAAAUUGAAGAAGGCACUUUACAGGUUGAAGCAAGCACCGCGGGCAUGGAAUACUCGUAUCGAUACAUACUUCAAGGAGAAUGGGUUCAAACAAUGUCCUUAUGAACAUGCCCUCUACAUGAAGAAGAAUGGAGGUAAUAUGUUAUUUGUUGCUCUUUAUGUCGAUGACCUUAUUUUUAUGGGGAACAAUGGUGAGAUGAUACUGGAUUUUAAGAGCAAAAUGACACAAGAAUUCGAGAUGACAGAUUUGGGUUUAAUGAAAUUUUUCCUUGGUUUGGAGGUUCGACAAGAAAGGAUAGGUAUUUUUGUGUCACAAGAGGCAUAUGCAAAGGAAAUUUUGAAGAAGUACAAGAUGGCACAUUGCAACCCGGUAUCAACACCAAUGGAACCAAGUGUAAAACUCUCGAAAUUCGAUGGAGGAGAACGAGUCGACGCAAGUAAAUACCGAAGUUUGGUGGGAAGCCUUCGCUAUCUCACUUGCACAAGGCCUGAAAUUUCGCUAAGUGUUGGCAUUGUAAGUCGGUUCAUGGAAGAGCCGGUUUGUUCACAUUGUAAGGCAUUGAAGCGAAUCCUACGGUACAUUCAAGGAACGGUGUUACUCGGGUUAUUUUAUUCAAAUAUGGAAGAUUACAAGUUGAUUGGGUAUUCCGACAGUGAUUGGUGCGGAGACUUAGAUGAUCGGAAAAGUACAUCGGGAUAUGUGUUCUUUAUGGGUAACACAGCAUUUGCUUGGCUUUCAAAAAAGCAACCAAUUGUGACACUAUCGACAUGUGAAGCUGAAUAUGUGGCAGCAUCUUGGUGUGUGUGUCAUGCUAUAUGGCUCAGAAACUUGUUGGGCGAGUUGGAGCAACAACAACUUGGUGCAACUGAGAUACGAGUUGACAAUAAAUCAGCGAUUGAGUUGGCAAAGAACCUAGUGAAUCAUGAGAGAAGCAAACACAUUGACAUUCGUUUUCAAUUCAUCCGAGAUCAUGUAAAGGAAGGAAGUGUGAAAUUAGUGCACGUGGCAAGUCGGGACCAAUUCGGGACCAAGUCGCGGAUAUCUUUACAAAACCACUACCGAUGGUACUCUUCGACAACUACAAGAAAUUAAUCGGCAUGAAGGAUGGCAGAAGCAUUUAAGUUUACAGGGGAGUUUUGUUAAAUAAACUUAAAUGAAAGUUAAGAGUUAUGUAAGUGAAAGGUCAAGAGUUGAAAGGUCAAAAGUUAUGUUGUUUUUUAAUGGGUUUAAAUUAGUAGUUUUUUGUUUAGGAAAAUGAAAGGUCAAGAGUCAUUGGUUUAUGGUUAUUAUUAGAUUAUAAUAUUUUCAGUUUUUUGUUGUUUUAAAGGGUAGACUAUAGUCUAUAAAUAUUUUGUAAGCUUUUGAUUUUAUGAGAGAGAACAAUUUUAAUAUUGAGAACAUUUUCAUCAUCCCGGAGGGUGUCAUUUGGAAUGGUCGUAUCUAUAUUGGUUUAAUAAAUGUUAAUAGAAUUUAUUUUGAUGGGUUUUAUGUGGUUGCAGAUGAUGUAGAAAAAAUUUAUUACGAAACUUACGAAUAUUCUACUGACUCUAGGUUGAUAUACUUUGAAUUAGAGUCUGAUGGAAGAUACCUUGAACGAAUAUGGGAUGCGGGGAAAGGGGACUGGAUAAACGGGUACUCUAGUUAUCUAACAGAUUGUGAUGUUUAUGGAAAGUGUGGGGCAUUUGGAAUCUGCGAUUCAACGAAACGACCCAUUUGCAGUUGUUUGAAAGGAUUUAAGCCUAGGAAUAUAGAGGAAUGGAGUAGAGGUAAAUGGAGUAGUGGGUGCUUUAGGACUACCCCUUUGCACUGCCAAAGAGAGAACAACAAUGGAAAUGAAGCAGGCCAAGGAGAUGAUGGGUUUUUAAAGCUGAAGAAGAUGAAAGUACCGGCAUUUCCAGACCAGUCAUCAAUAACUAACGGCGAAUGCAAAGAUCAAUGAAUGAAGAAUUGUUCGUGCGUGGCUUAUGCGUAUGAUGCUGGCAUUGGUUGCAUGUUAUGGAGUGGAGAUUUGAUUGUGUCCAGAAAUAUUUCUCUAAUCGGGGAGUCGAUCUUUACAUUCGUCUGCCAUCUUCGGAACUUGGUAAACUUGUCUUCCAUAUCGACCAUGUGUGUGACGAAUUGCAUCAAUUAAUCUUCAAUUCUUUUGGGUCGAAGUCUCAUAAACAAAUUUUCUGGAUUUGCAGAUAAAGGGAAAAGUAACUGUGGGCAAUUGUGUAGCCUUCAACUCAUUGCUUCUUUGAUUUCCAUCACAGGAAGGAAUAAAAAACGGACACAUAUCAAAGACAAAUUUCAUAGUGAAAAUAUAGGAGAAAGUUCAAUCGGUGUUAAACUCCAGCAGCCUCCACUAUUCAAUUUCCAAGAACUUGCCACCGCGACCAACAACUUCCAUCCCCCAAAAAAGCUAGGGCAGGGUGGUUUUGGUCCGGUUUACAAGGUAAUAUAUAAUAGCGAUUUCCGGUUGUUAGGAUAAUGAUCACCGGCCCAAAGCCGGAUUGUAAUGAGCUCGUAGGCCAGGCUCGUUAGUCGAGAACUUUGUAGGAAAGCAAGUUUAACUUGCGAGCUCACUACAAUCUGAUCUAAACCCAUUUGGAUUUUGAGCUGAUGAUAAUUAUCCUAAAACCGGUGAAUCCAGAGUCAAUGAAAUGACAUUUUUUUUUCAAUCAAGUAUUGUAGUCUGAAUUUUGAGUGCAGGGAACAUUAGAUGAUGGAAAGGAAAUAGCAGUGAAGAGAUUGUCGAAACCUUCGGGGCAAGGUUUGGAAGAAUUUAUGAACGAAGUGGUGGUUAUUUCUAAGCUCCAACAUCGAAAUCUGGUAAAAUUUUUUGGGUGUUGUGUUGAAGCAGAAGAGAAGAUGCUCGUCUACGAGUUUAUGCCCAACAAAAGUUUGGACGCUUUUCUAUUCGGUUAGUAAUUUAUUCAAAUUUUAUAGGAUCCCUUAAAAAAAUAAUGUUCUCCCAUAAAUGUUUUUUCCAUUCACAAAAUUUAAACUUAGGUGUAGUGAUAUUUUGAUUCUCUUCACCGUUUAAUAUUUAUUUCAAUUUAUUGACAUAACUUCAAUUAUGUCUACAAUCAUGGUAGAAAUACAAUGAUGGUUGUAGUUUAGAUCCUCAAUUAUAGGAUUUCAUUAUUAAUUUAGUAGGUUUUUAUGUUUAAAUUUUGUUAUAGAUCCCGUUAAACAAAAACUCUUGGAUUAGAGAAAACGCUUUAAUAUUAUUGAAGAGAUCAUUCGAGGAUUGCUUUAUCUUCAUAGAGAUUCAAGAUUGAAAAUUAUACACAGAGAUCUAAAAGCAAGUAAUGUUUUACUUGACCAAGAGCUAAACCCAAAAAUUUCAAAUUUUGGGAUAGCCAGGAUCUUUGGAGGUGAUGAAAAUCAAGCCAACACUAAAAGGGUUGUUGGAACUUAGUAAGUUGGAACUUCCUUCCUACCAUUUCUUUUUAUGCUCUUUUUAAUAAAAUAUGGUAUAAAUAUGUCUAUGGUCGGAUUUGGUGCUUAAAGAUGAUACAUGUCUAUACUUGUAUCGAGUUUAAUUUUGUUCAAUUUGUGGACUCAAUUUAUUGUUUUUAAUUUUAUAAAUAAAAUAUUAAAAAUAUAUUUUUAUAUUUUUAUAGUUAACUUUAAAUUAUUUAUUAUUUAUUCUUAAUUCAGGUUGGCUCGUGGACAAGUUUAAAUAAGAGCUGUAAUUGGUGUUGUUUUUUUAUGUUAAAAUACAGUGGUUAUAUGUCUCCUGAGUAUGCAAUGCAUAGGCGAUUUUCAGAGAAAUCUGAUGUGUUCAGUUAUGGAGUUCUACUACUAGAGAUUGUUAGUGGAAGAAGAAACACAAGCUUUUACAACAAGGAUGACCUUAGCCUCUUGGGAUUUGUAAGUUUAUAAGAUAGUUAGAGAUGUUGGUGGAUGGAAUUAGGGUGUAAGAUUUUGUAUAUGCGAGCUAUUCGGGUUUGGUUUGAGAAAACUUGAAUUUGGCUCAAUAAUUAUUGAGUCAAGCAAUCAUGUGAGUUGAAUUUGAGAAUCUUAAUACUUGGAUCGAGUAGCUCACAAGUGAAUUUCAAGAACCUUAAUACUUGAAUUGAGUAGCUUGCAAGGCUUUUCAAUCUUAAUCAAUAUUGAAAAUUUUCAGUUCAAACUCGAGCUUAAUUACAAAUAAUCAAGUUUGAAGUUAUGCAUAGGAGUGAAGCUCAUUGUAGACUUAGGUAAAACAAACCUAAUCAAGAGAGUUAGAACACUUCCAUUAACUCUAUUAAAGCUUUAAGAUUAAGAAUUUGAGUCAAGUUAAGCCAAAUGAUUUAGGCAUUAAUUUAGAUAAAAUUAUUUACUGUUUCAAGUCUGGAAAUUAUGGAACGAAGGCAACAUUUGGGACUUAGUAGACAAGGUGAUUUCAAAGUCGGAAUCAGAUUUAAAGAAUAAGAAAGAAAUAUGGAGAUGCAUACAUGUUGAAUUGCUAUGUGUUCAAGAAUAUGCUAAAGAUAGGCCAACUAUGUCUACUAUUGCUUCAAUGCUUAACAGUGAGAUUUCAGAUCUUAACAUUCCAAAACAACCUGCUUUCACUCAAACACUAUUAAUUAGCGAUGAUUUUGAAGAUUGUGUUUCAUUUAAUGAUGUAACUCUGACGGGCUUUGAUGGUCGAUAAAGAUACAAAUUAAUUAUUUGUAGUGUUUACAAUUAAAGGUCAAGUAGUAAAAUGUAUUUUUUAUAUUAUGUUUUGAUAUGUUUUUAUUAUUUUAUUUUGAUCAUAAUUUUUCAUUUUAUUUGUUCCAUUCUAUAGUGAAUUUACCAUUAUAUUUAAACACGGUAGCAUUGUCUAGAGGUGAUCAUGGGCAUGGCUGGGCUAGGUUCGGGUCGGGCCCAGAAAAGUUUUUUGGCCCGCGUCCUAGGCCCGUGCCCAGCCCGGCCCGAAAUAUGGGCCUAAAAUUUUGUCCAGACCCAGCCCGACAAAAAUUCCUAAGCCCGAGCCCGGCCCAGCCCGACCUUUUUUUUUCCAUACAUUAACCAAUCAACAUAUUUAAUUUUAUAACAAAAUAUAAAUUGUAAGCUAAAUUAAAUUUUCAACAAAUAGAAAUGAAGUAUCCUAAAACGUAACCGAAGAAACAUCAUCCUCAUUGUCCUCAUCGUCCUUUUUGCAACCAAUUUAUUAUAUUCGGAAAUGUAUUUUAAAAUUAAAAAAAUAAAAAAAAGUAUUUUAAAAAUACUUUAAAAUAAAAAAUAAAAAAAUAAAUUAUAUAAAUACUAAAUAUCUGAAUGUCUAAUGGGAAAUGGGGAAAUGAGAAAUGUAUUUUAAAAAUAAAAAAAUAUAUAUUUAUUAUAUAUUUGGGCCGGGCCGGGCUGGGCCAGACGUGGGCCAAAAAAGUUUUGCCCGAGGCCCGGCCAGUUUUCUAAACGGGUCUCAUUUUUUUGCCCAAAUCCAUAUUUCGAACUUAUAUUUUUACCUGAACCCUCCCAUAUUUCGGACGGGCUAUCGGGCCGGGCCGGGCCGGGCCGCUCAACCCAUGAUCACCUCUAGCUUUGUCCCAAACUUGAAAACUUGAUUUUAUCAAAUCCAAACUUAAACUUGACAUAACUUGAGUUGAAUAUAAAAGAUCGACAAUUUAAACCCGUGUACCUUAAACUUAAAAAUGAUCUAAAACCUAAAAUGAUUUGAAUUUAAAGUGACCAAAUUCAAAAUUUCUUAAAUACAUAACUCGAAAUGUUCUGAACCUAAUAUGACCUAACUUGAAAACCCAACUUACAAAUCCACUUGAACCCAAAAUAGCUUCAACCUUAAACUAAUUCAAAUUCAAAAUUAUUCAAAAAAUUUAAAAUUCGAAUUUAGUUCAUUCAAAACCAGUCCAAAAUAGAUUCUGUUAUACUUUAUGUCACUAUUUGUGGUGAUUAUCACUUUUGUUUAUUGAAUUUUGCGGGGUAAAAAAGCUCAUGAAGUUUUUAAAAAAAAUAUUGAAGUCAUUCGACAAAAAAUGCAUUCAAUUAUACUUUUAAAUUUGAAAAUUGCAUCAAGCUCUUUAAUCAAUGAAAUCCAUCCUUGAUCGUUAAUUUUGUUAAAAGUUGCUGAUAUGGUAGUUAAAUAAUUGUUAAAUCAUUCAUUUUCUUUCAAGUCAGUCCAAAGUAGUAGAUAAAGUGUCAACGUAAUGACAUGGGAAUUGGAGAAUAAAUUUAAAGAUAUUAUUAAUUAAACUUAAUGAUAGUUGUCAAAGCAUUUGUUUUCUUCCAAGUCGCAAGCACGAGCGAUCGGUACAUCCAAACCUAACCAUAAAGAAAACACCAAAUUUUGAUGGGUAUCAUCCACCAAAAAUAAAAUAUUUACGCUUAAAAUUGAAAUUAAAUUUAAAUAUAGGAAGUAAGGUCAAUCCCAUAGAGAUUGAUCUAAUUGAAUCCGGAUUUAAUUAUAACUAGAAUGUGUUGUAUGCAGUUUUCAUUUCCACAACUCAUGCCAAUAUGUAUGAAACAAAAAGGGGAUUAAAUUGAAAUAUAAAAUAAAUAAUAAGAAAAUAAAUAUAGUACAAAGAUUAAACAUUCCUAUCUUUCAACAUUAGACCUCAAAGUUUUUUAUCUUUUACAAUUAGAUCCCUAACAACUAGACCUGUUCAUGGGUCGAGCCACUCAGCCUAGCCCGAAAAGUGGGAGGGUUUGGGCAAAAUAUAUGCCCAAAAAAUGGGUUUGGGAAAAAAUAUAAAGCCCGUCUAAAAAAUCGGGUUGGGCUUUGAGUAAAGCAUUUUUUGCCCAGGUCUGGCCCGGCCCGAAUUCACAAAAGGACAAAAAAUCUACUAAUUUUUGUUGUUUUAAUGUUAUUUUCUUGUUAUUUUCUCCCUAUUUUGCUACCAUUUCACUAUUAUGUUACAUAAAUUUUGUUGUUAUUGUUUUGAUAUUGUAUAACACUUGAUUUAUUAUUACUUUUGUUAUUAUUUUAGAGGCAUUUGCUUGUUAAGUUGCAUUUAUCUUUGUUAGGGAUCGACCCGAUUAAGCAACAAGUAACAAAAAUAGCGGAAUAAAUUGAGAAAUUGAACACACAAAUUUAACGUGGAAAAACCCCUCCAAAGAGGAUAAAAAACCACGGGCAAAGAUAAUUUUACUAUAAUGGCAAAAGAACGAAGAGUACAAAAGAUGGAGAUAAAACUAAACCCCAAAAACCCGAAAACAAAGAACCCUCAAAACAUAAACACAAAAUUCUCUAAAUGUGUUCUGAGUUCUAAUAUCUAAUGGGUGUCUAUACUAAGGUUGUAAAAGAGCAUAUUUAUAGGCUAAAUUCAUAUGUCAAAUAAUAAUAAAAUAAUCUAAACUAAUCAAUGUUUGACUGAAAUAAAUAAACAGAGUUUAACUAAAAGAUUAUUUCUCAAAUUUGACUGAAAAUAGGAGUCAUACUUAACAAAUCUCCACCUUGACUCAUAUUUCCACAACACCAUCUUUGCCAAAGCCUGCACGAGCCUAUCUUGAACUAUGCAAGGAAUUAACUGAGUCGAAUCUGUGCUUAGAAACUGGAUUCUAGCCUUCGACUUGUACACUGCCAAAUCAAAACUAACCCAGGUUUGAUUUUCACGAACACAGUGCCCUAACUUUUUAAAACCUGCAUCCAAAAGAGAACCUCUCUUCAACGAAACGGUCAUACAUUUUUCCCUCUUAUGACCAAGUUGCCUCCGUUCCAAAUGAGUUGACUUCGACUCUGUAACGGAUGAGGGACGUCCGAUUUCACCGGUCACUGUAGAACCUUCCAGAAUAUAAAGACUGCCAGUUCUUUUACCUUUUAACAAAACGAGAGCUCCACGAGAUACUUUAAUGUCGCUUGACUCGAUGUUGAUUCUGCAUCCUUUCAAGUCUAAAAUACUCAAGGAGAUGAGAUUCUUUCGUAAAUCAGGUACAUACCAGACAUCUGAGAGUGUCCUAAUUGUCCCGUCGUGUGUCCUGAUUUUAACAGUUCAAAUACCAACUACCUUACUAGAUGAAUCGUUUCCCAUGCGCACAACUCCACCUUCAACCGAAUUGUAUGUAGAGAACCAUUUUCUAUUGGGACACAUGUGGAAAGAACAUCCCAAAUCUAGGAUCCACUUGGACGUGAGUUUGGAGUUAUCACUCGUUGACACUAACAAGAAAUCAUCACUGCUUUCAUCGGCCAAAUUAGCACCAGCUACAUCUUCCUCGUUACUCUCAGCAACUCUUUUAUUUCGCAGUUUAUAACAAUCUGCUUUGACGUGACCUAACUUUUUACAAUAGCGACACAUUUUGUCUCGUUUCUUUGAUGCUACUAAAACAGAAGCUUGCCUAUCUGCCUUGCUAUCCAAAUGAAGCUCAUUGUCGAGUUUGUCUCUACUCAGCAAAUGACCCUUCACAUCUUCGAACGAGAUUUUGUCUCUGCCAUAAAUCAGGGUCUCCCUGAAAGACUUGUAUGAAGGGGGUAAAGAGCACAAUAAUAGCAUAGCUUGAUCUUCAUCAUCAAUAUGAACCUCAACGUUCUUUAAAUCAUUUAAAAGAGUAAUGAAUUGACUGAUGUGAUCUCUAAGAAGCUCACCUUCGUUCAUGCGAAACGUAAAUAGACGUUGUUUCAACACUAAACGGUUAGCCAAAGACUUAGUCGCAUAAAGAGUUUCUAACCUUUUCCACAAGGCGGAUGAGGUCUUCUCCAUCAAUACCUCUUGCAAUAACGUAUUCGCGAGGCACAACUGGAUUGCAGACAAGGCCUUUUCAUCAAGUUCUUCCCAUUCUGUUUUAUUUAGAUUCUCAGGCUUUUUCCUGGUAACAACCUUUUUCAAACCGGAUUGAACUAGAAUUUCCAUCAUUCGAACUUGCCACAGAUUGAAAUUUGUCUCACCAUCGAACUUCUCAAUUUCAAACCUUGUUAUUGCCAUAUCUGAAUGGGCUGAUCUAUGAAAAUUGAACUAGCUCUGAUAUCACUUGUUGGGGAUCGACCUGAUUAAGCAACAAGUAACAAAAAUAGCGGAAUAAAUUGAGAAAUUGAAUACACAAAUUUAACGUGGAAAAACCCCUCCAAAGAGGAUAAAAAACCACAGGCAAAGAUAAUUUUACUAUAAUGGCAAAAGAACGAAGAGUACAAAAGAUGGAGAUAAAACUAAACCCCAAAAACCCGAAAACAAAGAACCCUCAAAACAUAAACACAAAAUUCUCUAAAGGUGUUCUGAGUUCUAAUAUCUAAUGGGUGUCUAUACUAAGGUUGUAAAAGAGCCUAUUUAUAGGCUAAAUUCAUAUGUCAAAUAAUAAUAAAAUAAUCUAAACUAAUCAGUGUUUGACUGAAAUAAAUAAACAGAGUUUAACUAAAAGAUUAUUUCUCAAAUUUGAAUAAAAAUAGGAGUCAUACUUAACAAUCUUAGUGUUAUUUAAGUAUAUAUUCAUAUUUUUUAAAGUUUUAGUAUUUUGAUAUAUUAUAUAUUUAAAAAUUAUAUACAAAUAAUAUAAAAAAAUUAGUAUAGGUGGGUUAGACCCGAGUUUUAGUAUUUUUAUCUGAAUCGGGUCUGGAUAAAAUUUUAGACCCAUUUUUUAGGCCGAGCCCGGGCCUAUUUUUUUGACUUGACCCAGACUCCUUCCGGCCUAGCCCAUAAGCACCUCUACUACCAACAUAUAUUUACUCGAACUUAUCCAAGCUUGAAUUAAUAUCUCUUAACACAUUUUCUCCAUUUUCACAUUAUAGAUUUAACUAACAUUAAACAUCCUAACUCAAUUUUGAUUUAGGGGUGAGCAUUUGACUGAAUCAAGUGAAAAAAAAAUGAGUUUAUGAGUCCUAUUUUAUCAUCCUUACUGAAUUUGAAUUUUUUUUAAUUGAGUCGAGUGAAAUGAAAUUCGAGUCAAGUCAAAUAGAAUCAAGUGAAAUUGUUCAAGUUAGAUUUUUUUUUAAAAAAUUAAACAUUUCAAAUAAAAAUAUUAUUACAGUAUAACUAAUUCCAUAUUAGGGCACAUAAAUUUAAAUUUUUUUCGAAGCAAAAAAAAAAGAACUUGAGUAUGAUAAAUUUGAAUCAUUACUUAAGUCUCCAAGAUUAUUGUUUUAGAAAAAUUUUAAAAUAUUAACUCUUUUUAUAUAUUUUUUAGAAUUUUUAUAAUUUUUUAAAAUAUAUAAUUUUGGAAAUUUUUAUAAAUAUUUUGAAUUUUAAAAAUUAUUUUGAAUUCUAUUUAUAAUUUUUGUUGAGGGAGAGAGACCAAUUUGCUUAUUUUCAAAGUUGACAGGAACCAAAAUGAUGUUUAUACCAAUCUGUUAUUUGAAUUAUUCGAGUUAUACGAAUUGUGAAAUUCAACUCGACUUAAACUCCAAAUUCAAAUUGAGUUAUUCGAGUUGACUCGAAUAAUUCAAAUAACUCGAAAUUAAAAAAAUUGAUGUUUUUCAAUCGAAUUGAAUUUUGGUCACCUUUAAGAGGAUACAAAAAAUAAGUCAUAACUUGAUCCACGAACAUGUCUAAUAUAACUAUAUUCCAAGAUUUAAAUAGUAAUAGCAAUGUAAUAUUUUGACUCUUUUCAUUGUUGAAUAUUUAUUUCAAUUAAUCGACAUAACAUCAGUUAUAUCUACAAUCACAAUGAAUAUGGUAAGGUAUAAAACACAACAAUAAUUGUAGUUUAGAUCCACUAUUAUAGGAAUUUCCGUUAAUCUUGGAGGUCUCCAUGUUUAAUUUUUAUAUAAUAUAUCCCGUUGGACCCAGCCAAGCACCUAAAAAGGAAGCAUUCCUCCCCUCGUUUGGGUUUUCUAAUACAUGUUUAAUCACUUUUAAAAUGUUCACAUUUAAUAGAUAUAACUUUAAAUAGCGAUAAUCAUUAUAUUAGAUAUUAAUAAAUGAAAAAAAUGGAACAGAUAUUAACUCAUAUACACAUCGAAAACGCUCUUCCAUUUCUAACCAAUUUCCAUCAAUGCAUUGAAUUAUGUCGGUCAGUAAAAACAAAAUAAAACUAAUUUACAUGACUACUUAAAUUUUGCUUUGAAGUUAAAUUUGUAAUAUUUCAAAUAACAGGUUUAAUACAUUAUAAUGUUGUAUUAAUUUUAUAUAUUUAUACAAAUUUAUUUAACAAAUUGAAUUUUAAUUUAAUGGUUGAUUUUGAUGUAAUUUACAUAUAACAUGAUAUUAAACAAAUACAGAUCUUAUAAAAAGAAAAACUAGGGAACUAUUUAAACUUAGAUUGAUUGUUUACUUUAGCCAGGUCUAACUGGACAGGUCUACUUGUAAGAUUGGAAUAGCUAAUGGUUCCAACUUGUCAUCUCAUGGUACAAAAACGGAUAAACAUUGUUAAAGACAAAAAAGUCUUUGCUCAAUAAUUAUAAUUUUACAAAUAUACAUGCGAGUUGACUCACAGAUCAUUCAUGAAUUUGAUUCCUCAAAAAUCAUUUAUAAAUCAUAGCCUCACCUCCGGGGUCUGCACUUCAAGAACUUCAUGGGUAAAACUAUUAGUAGCUGCCUUUUACCAGCUUUAAUAUCUUGUUUUUACUUGCAGCUGCAGUUUGGCACUGCUUCAGACACCAUAAGAGCAUCAGAAUCCAUCAAAGACCCUGAAUUUAUAAUCUCACAGGGUGGAGUUUUCCGAUUGGGAUUCUUCAGCUUUGCUAAUUCCACCAAUCGUUAUGUAGGGAUAUUGUACAACCAAAUCCCCGUACAAACUGUUGUAUGGGUGGCAAAUAGAAACAGGCCUCUCAAAGACUCUUCUGGGGUUCUCACCAUAUCAGAUGAUGGCAACCUUGUUGUUUCCAAUGGAAAAGCUGAGCUUCUUUGGUCAACAAAUGUUACGAAUCUGGUUCCUAAUGCAACAACUGCACAGCUUUUAGACUCUGGAAAUCUUGUCCUCAAUAAUGGCGACAAUGGAGGAAGCAGCAGCUUAUGGGAGAGUUUUCAACACCCUUCUAAUGCAUUCCUUCAAACUAUGAAGAUCGGCGUUGAUGUAAAAACGGGUCGUAAGGUGCAUACGAGAUCAUGGAAAGGCCCUGAUGAUCCAUCUGAUGGUAACUUUACUGAUUGCCUUGAACCUUUCAACAUCCCAGAGGGUGUCAUUCGGAACAAUAACCAGAUAUAUUUUCGGACUGGCCCAUGGAAUGGCCAUUUCUAUAUUGGUUUAAUAGAAAUGAAUACCGUUUAUCUUGAUGGGUUUUAUGUGGUUGCAGACGAUGAAGGAAAAAGUUAUUAUGAAACUUACGAAUAUUCUAAUAAGUCUAUGUUGAUAUACUAUGAAUUAGAUUAUGAAGGAAGAUUCGUUGAACGAAAAUGGGAUGCGGGGAAAGGGGACGGGAUAAACCGUUACCUAAUUCUUCAAAAUGAUUGUGAUUUUUAUGGGAAGUGUGGGGCAUUCGGAAUCUGCGAUCCAAAGAAACAACCCAUUUGCCGUUGCUCAAAGGGAUUUAAGCCUAGGAAUGCAGAGGAAUGGCGUAGAGGUAAUUGGAGUAGUGGGUGUUUUAGGACUACCCCUUUGCAGUGCCAAAGAGAUAACAACAAUGGCAGUGGAGGAGCAGGCCAAAGUGAUGAUGGGUUUUUGAAGCUGAAGACGAUGAAAGCACCGGCUUUUCCAGAUCGGUCAUCAAUAAUUAACGGCGAAUGCAAAGAUCAAUGCAUGAAGAAUUGUUCGUGUGUGGCUUAUGCGUAUGAUGCUGGAAUUGGUUGCAUGUUUUGGAGUGGAGAUUUGAUUUUGAUGUCCAGAAAUUCCCCACUCGCGGAGUCGAUCUUUACAUUCGUCUGCCAUCUUCGGAACUGGGUAAAGUUUCUUAGUGUCGACCAUGUGUUUGAUAAAUUGCGUCAAUAUCUGCCUUUUUGGGUUAAAGUUAUUAACCAAGUUUUUCUAUUUGCAGAUACAGGGUUUAGGGUUAUUGUUAUUACAACAGUAACUGCGGGCAUAGUCGUUAUUACAAUUUCUACACUCUUCUUAUGGUGUAGGAAAGCUAAAUAUAAAGGUAAUACAUAUGAAAAAUAUUUAUAUGUAUAAAUAAUUUACUAAGAAAUUACAAAUUAAACUAAAAAUAUAUAUGUGAAAAAUAUUGAUAAAUCUAAAACGAUAUAUUGAAACAUGGUGUUAUUUGUCCAUAGUUACAUAUUAAUGCCAAGACAACAACAGUAUGUCUGUCAAUACGUUACUAACUACUUUGAUCCUAUCUCAGGAAGAAAUAAAAAACGAAAACAAAUCAAACACCAGUUUUCUAGUGAAAAUAUUGGAGAAAAUCCAGUUGGAGUUAAACUCCAGCAGCUGCCACUAUUCAAUUUCGAAGAACUUGCCACCGCGACCAACAACUUCCAUCCCGAAAAAAAGCUAGGGCAGGGUGGUUUUGGUCCGGUUUACAAGGUAAUAAAUAACGGCGAUUUCCGGUGAAUUCAGAGUCAAUGAAAUGACUUCUUUUUUUCAAUCAAGGAUUGUGAUCAGAAUUCUGAGCGCAGGGAACAUUAGAUGAUGGAAAAGAAAUAGCAGUGAAGAGAUUGUCAAAAGCUUCGGGGCAAGGAUUGGAAGAAUUUAUGAACGAAGUGGUGGUUAUUUCAAAGCUCCAACAUCGAAACCUGGUUAGAUUAUUUGGGUGUUGUGUUGAAGCAGAAGAGAAGAUACUCGUCUAUGAGUUCAUGCCCAAUAAAAGUUUGGAUGCUUUUCU